UACGUAGGCAGCGAGCGUUGUUCGGAUUUACUGGGCGUAAAGCGUGCGUAGGCGGUUUUGUAAGUUUGGUGUGAAAUCUCCCGGCUCAACUGGGAGGGUGCGCCGAAAACUGCAAGGCUGGAGUGUGGGAGAGGUAGGCGGAAUUCCUGGUGUAGCGGUGAAAUGCGUAGAUAUCAGGAGGAACACCUGUGGUGUAGACGGCUUACUGGACCAUGACUGACGUUGAGGCACGAAAGCGUGGGGAGCAAACAGG
This 253-nucleotide ribosomal RNA is filed under the name uncultured bacterium. Its description in RNAcentral is "partial 16S ribosomal RNA". It matches the Rfam family "Bacterial small subunit ribosomal RNA", at positions 524 to 776 of the family's 1533-position model. The record is from RNAcentral.